Molecule: ribosomal RNA, 497 nt
Filed under: uncultured bacterium
Lineage: Bacteria
Description: partial 16S ribosomal RNA
Rfam family: Bacterial small subunit ribosomal RNA
Source: RNAcentral
GAUGAACGCUGGCGGCGUGCCUAAUACAUGCAAGUCGAGCGAACAGACGAGGAGCUUGCUCCUCUGACGUUAGCGGCGGACGGGUGAGUAACACGUGGAUAACCUACCUAUAAGACUGGGAUAACUUCGGGAAACCGGAGCUAAUACCGGAUAAUAUAUUUAACCGCAUGGUUCAAUAGUGAAAGACGGUUUUGCUGUCACUUAUAGAUGGAUCCGCGCCGCAUUAGCUAGUUGGUAAGGUAACGGCUUACCAAGGCAACGAUGCGUAGCCGACCUGAGAGGGUGAUCGGCCACACUGGAACUGAGACACGGUCCAGACUCCUACGGGAGGCAGCAGUAGGGAAUCUUCCGCAAUGGGCGAAAGCGUGACGGAGCAACGCCGCGUGAGGGAUGAAGGUCUUCGGAUCGUAAAACUCUGUUAUUAGGGAAGAACAAAUGUGUAAGUAACUAUGCACGGCUUGACGGUACCUAAUCAGAAAGCCACGGCUAACUAAGUG